ACGAACGCUGGCGGCGUGCUUAACACAUGCAAGUCGAACGGAAAGGCCCUGCUUUUGUGGGGUGCUCGAGUGGCGAACGGGUGAGUAACACGUGAGUAACCUGCCCUUGACUUUGGGAUAACUUCAGGAAACUGGGGCUAAUACCGGAUAGGAGCUCCUGCUGCAUGGUGGGGGUUGGAAUGUUUCGGCGGUUGGGGAUGGACUCGCGGCUUAUCAGCUUGUUGGUGGGGUAGUGGCUUACCAAGGCUUUGACGGGUAGCCGGCCUGAGAGGGUGACCGGCCACAUUGGGACUGAGAUACGGCCCAGACUCCUACGGGAGGCAGCAGUGGGGAAUAUUGCACAAUGGGCGGAAGCCUGAUGCAGCAACGCCGCGUGCGGGAUGACGGCCUUCGGGUUGUAAACCGCUUUCGCCUGUGACGAAGCGUGAGUGACGGUAAUGGGUAAAGAAGCACCGGCUAACUAAGUG
This 467-nucleotide ribosomal RNA is filed under the name uncultured bacterium. Its description in RNAcentral is "partial 16S ribosomal RNA". It matches the Rfam family "Bacterial small subunit ribosomal RNA", at positions 29 to 507 of the family's 1533-position model. The record is from RNAcentral.